RNA transcript from Hemicordylus capensis (graceful crag lizard), 4765 nucleotides. It is a transcript of the gene named Rho/Rac guanine nucleotide exchange factor 2, with no coding region annotated. The record is from RefSeq and is a predicted model, not a curated record. The transcript is spliced from 27 exons. Lineage: Eukaryota; Metazoa; Chordata; Lepidosauria; Squamata; Cordylidae.
GAAAUAAAGGGGGGUUUGUAGCCACAAAAGGGUGCAAGCAGGGCGUCUUCCGUUGCUGCCUGAAAGUGGCCUUUUUCUUGCCGUCCCUCCUGCCCUUUCCCCCCUCCGGCAGUCCCACUUUCUGAAAGUGACUACAGACAGGUGGAAGAGAGCCUCACUCCUCGCCAGUUAUCCCAAAGGGGGAACUGGCUGCUGUGGUCUUUGGGGGGGACUCCGGUUCUACCUCAGCCGGCCGCAUUUCCUAGGCCGCUCUGAGGCCUAGCGCUCGAGGGCCAGCUCAGGGUUUCUAAUGGUUUUAUUUUUGCUGGCGUGCCCCUGUUUUUAAGGGGGUUAUUUCUCAGGCUUGCUUUUGAAUUUUAUUUUGCACGCUGCGUCGUGCUUUUCAGAGAAAACGUAGCCGCUUGAAGCUCGGGGGCUUGGCGGGGUCCGGAAGGCCGGGUUGGCGGUCUCGAGGAAGGCGUCAGCCAUGCCUGAGUGAGGAGGAAUAAGGAAGUUCGGGGAAAUGCAAUGUGCAAACAACAAGUUUGCUGUCUUCUGGGCCCACGACCUCCCCAAGGGAUGAACGGCUCGGCUCCUGAGCUUUUCCUGAGCCCCUGUGUCCAGAAACGCCGGUGCUUGUCGGCUGUGGAGCCCGUUUCCCCUCCUGCUGAAGGAGACUGGCUGGCGGCAGAAGAGGAAGAUGAGUUCCUAGGGGUGCAGCUGCGAAGGCCAAGCACCUUCCGGGCUUCUUCCCAUGCUUACGACGCCUUCCGAAGGCACAGCUGGGAGCCCGGGAAAGUGCUGGAUGAGGAAUCGGAGUUGGAUCAGCGAAGUGUGAGUUUCAAAGGAUUAGCCCCCGAAGAGAUUGACUCCUCCUCUACUGAGCAACUGAAUCGGCAUCCCCAGGACAGAAGGGACCCCCGACGCGUCCCCAUCAUCCGUAGCAAUGAUGAGUCCUUGCUCUCUCAGGACGAAGACGAUGACGAUGAUGACAUGGAAGUGGCUCAGAAACAUUCCCAGAGGAUGCAAGCAUUUCGGGCGCCCUCGGGUUCUGCCUGUGGCUCUCUCUCCAAGUCUAUUUCCAUGAGUGGCAUUGACAGCUACCCAGAUGCCGAUGAAAUCUCGCUUUAUUCGGACACAGUGGAUCUGGCCAACGGCUUCAGCACCGGCAGCUGUGGGCGCCUGGACGGCAUCACGGACGAGGCCAAGGACCCGGACGACCCACAGAGGAGCACCCUGGGGCGGACGCUCAGCUUCCUCAAAAAGAUGACUGGGAAGUCCAAGAACAAAGAGAAGGAAAGGAUGAAGGAGAGCAAAGACCGCGACGCGCGUUACACCAACGGGCACCUCUUCACCUCCAUCACGGUCUCGGGCAUGACCAUGUGCUUCGCCUGCAGCAAGAGCAUCACGGCCAAGGAGGCGCUGAUCUGCCCCACCUGCAACGUCACCAUCCACAACCGCUGCAAAGACACACUGCCCAACUGUACCAAGGUCAAGCAGAAGCAGCAAAAGGCAGCCUUGCUGAAGAACAAUUCAGCCCUGCAGACGGUGUCCCUGAGGAACAAGUCGACCAUCCGAGAGCGUCCGAAUUCUGCCAUCUACCCCUCGGAGAGCUUCCGCCAGACCCUGCUUGGCUCCCGCCGGGGGCGGCCCACCUUAUCCCUUUCGAAAAGUGUCUCCACCACAAAUAUUGCAGGGACGUUCAAUGAUGAGUCUCCCCUGGGCAUCCGGAGGAUCCUUUCCCAGUCCACCGAUUCCCUGAACAUGCGCAACCGCACGCUCUCGGUAGAGUCCCUCAUUGACGAAGGUGCCGAAGUCCUCUAUAACCAGCUGAUGAGCGGCUUUGAGACCGACGAGAAGGACUUUGAAGCUGAUUCCUGGAGCCUGGCCGUCGACAAUAAUUACCUGCAGCAGCACAAGAAGGAAGUCAUGAAGCGGCAAGACGUCAUCUAUGAGCUGAUCCAGACCGAGCUGCACCAUGUGCAGACCCUGAAGAUCAUGGCCAACGUCUUCCGCAAGGCCAUGCUAGAGGACCUCCAGAUGGACGCGGCCGUGGUGCACAGCAUGUUCCCCUGCUUGGACGAGCUCAGCGAGAUCCACGACCGCUUCCUCGUCCAGCUGCUGGAACGCCGCAAGGACUCCCUGGCCACCGACAGCAACAAGAACUUUGUCAUCAACCGGCUGGGAGACAUCCUGGUCCAGCAGUUUUCUGGGACCUGCGCCGAGCAAAUGAAGAAUGCCUACUCGGAGUUCUGCAGCCGCCACACCAAGGCCGUGAAGCUCUACAAAGAGAUUUAUGCCCGGGACAAGCGCUUCCAACAGUUCAUCCGGAGGAUGACGCGGUCGGCAGUGCUGCGGCGUCACGGCGUCCAAGAGUGCAUCCUCCUGGUCACCCAGCGCAUCACCAAAUACCCUGGGCUUAUCAACCGAAUCCUGCAGAACUCCAAAGGGAACGAAGCCGACCAGCAGGACCUGAGCAACGCCCUGGCCUUGAUCAAGGACCUGAUUUCGGCCAUCGACCAGGAGGUGCACGACUACGAGAAGAACGCCCGCCUGCAGGAGAUCUACAGCCGGAUCGACGGGCGGGCCAAGGUCCCCCUGGAGCGGGUGGGGUCCUUCUGCAAGGACGAGAUCAUGCGGCGGAAGCUGGUCCACGAUGGCUGCAUGCUCUGGAAGAUGGCGACCGGGCGCUUCAAAGAUGUCCUGGUUCUUUUGAUGACGGAUGUUCUCAUCUUCCUCCAGGAGAAGGAUCAGAAGUACACCUUCCCCACCUUGGACAAGCCGGCAAUCAUCUCACUCCAAAACCUGAUUGUCCGAGACAUCGCCAACCAGGAGAAGGGUAUGUUCCUCAUCAGCAACACCCCGCCGGAGAUGUACGAGGUGCACACCGCCUCCCGGGACGAGCGGAACACCUGGAUGAGGUGCAUCCAGCAGGCGGUCAAGCUGUGCCCGGACCGGGCCGAUUUCCCGCUCAUUGAGACGGAGAACGAAGCCUCGCUGCGGAAGCUGAAAGACAGGGUCCUGCAACGGGACCGCGAAAUAGCAGAACUCCUGGAGGACAAAGUGGGGCUCUUCACCGACAUCCUGGCCCUUCAGAGCAGCGGCGAGGACGGACCCCUGCCCGCUGUGAACCCUCGCACCCUUUUCCGCACCGAGUCCUCGGACACCCCCCGCGGCGAGAAGCUAAUCCAGGAGGCUGUCAAAGAAGUGGAGCUUCUGAAAGAUCUGUUUGUGGGACCCGGCUGGGAUCGAGACCAAAACCACACUCAGGGCUUGAAUGGCUGCUGUAGCCCAAACCCCAGUAAUACCACAAAUGGGGAGACCGGAAGCAUCAAUGGCUCGCUUGAUUUCAACAGGGUUGACUCCAACUCCAGCCAACAGCGGCCAGGUUGGAUUUUGGGCCCAUCUCGACAGCUUGCCUUUGGGAUCUUCUGGGGAAAGGCUGCUGUUUUUCUCGACUGCCACCCGCUGACCCCUUUGCGUUCUGUUCCCGCAGGAUGGGAACGGGAACCAGCUGCAGCAGAGACCCCCGCAGGAGGAGGUGCUGCAGCGUCUCAAGAGCCUAUAUUCUCUGCUCCACAGCCUGCAGGAAGUGGUGGUGCAUCAGGACAGCCUUCUGGAGCUCCAGCUGCAGGAGGCGGGAGAGCGGCGGGAGCGGCUGGGCCGCACCAACUCCCGCAAGGAAGCCUCGGCCGCCACGGCGGAGAGGCAGGCCACGGACCUCUCCCUGCUGCAGAAGCAGCACACCCUGCUGCAGGAGGAGCUGAGCCGCAGCCGGCUGCUCUGCCAGGAGAAGGCCCAGGAGGUGGCGGCCCUGGAGGCGCGGCUGCGGGACAGCGAACAGGAGCGGCUGCGGCACGAGCGGGAGGCGGAGGAGGCGCGCCGGCAGCUGGCGGCCCUGCGGCAGCCCAUGGAGGCAGCCUGGGUCCGCAAGGGGGCGGAGCCCCGGAGGCGGAGCUUGCCCGCGGGCGACGCCCUCUACCAAAGUUUCACUCCGCCACCGCUGCAGAGCCGAGGGGGCGACCCCCACUCUCCCGGCUUCCACCGGACCUUCGCCAGUUGCCAGCGAGAUGAGUUCAGCUACCACGGUGUACCCGGCCGGCUCCAGGAGGGCGACCAAGGCUUGGAGGUGCUCUUGGACGAAGAAGGGGUGAUCAACCAGCAGUCCCCUCCUGCCAGCCCGCGAGAUUUCCAGAGGAUGCAGGACAUUCCCGAGGAGGUUGAGAGCAGCCAGGAACUGAACGUCGGGGACGGCGGCUCAUCAGACAGUUAGAUGGUGUGGGCGGACCAGCCCCACGCCCCCCGAACCGAGCCGACGGCCACCUUUUCUCCAAUCAAAGCCACACCGUGGAUCUUCAGGGACCUGAAAAGGCCGCACCAGACUAACUGUGGGUUGGACUGUGGGUGGGUGAGAGGGCGAGCGGCUGGAAAACCACGUCCUGAGAGAGCAAGGGGAGGGACGGGGGAUCGGGGUCACAGCUCCGCCUGGGGACCGUGACUCGACCGUGGCCUUUGUCAUUUCUCUUUGACGGACGGUGGCUUGGGGAUCUUUUUUGUGGUCACCCUUCAGGUUCUCUUCCUCAGUUCAGGGUGGCAGGGACAGGGCGAGGGAGAUCGGGUGCCCGGAGUGUUGUGAGUCCUGGCAUACCGCCGAUUUAAAAAGACAAACACACACCCCCAUCUCUCUGCCCUGUGUUUUUUAUGCAAUUUAAAUGUAUUUAUUUCGGGAACAGGAGGAAGCUGCCUCCUCCUUCUGAAGGAUCAGUUUAAAUUAUUGUGACUAUGA